GUAUUGCCCACGCACUGACGGUCAAACCGUGACACUCUGUACAUUGUAAUGGGGGCAAAUUGUGAUUUCAGAGAGGUAUGUGUAAAUCGGGACACAUUAUGCUUAGUGUACAAGGUGUUAUUUUUUUUACAACAUAUUAACAUCUUCCUGCAUUUCCUUCUUCAAAGGAAAACAUGCUGCAAAUUAGGAGAUGGUGGUGUCUCGCUCUCCUGCAGAACUUCCCUUAGCCGUCUGAAGAAGACCGAUUGCAGGACAGAAAACGGCGACGAGUGCAAGGAGGGCUACAGACUCUGGGAAAUUGACAGAACUGGAAACCGGGAACAGGGUUGCUUGUUAUGGCCCAGAAAAAUACCCUGAUACUUGCCAUUGUUAAACAUUUAUGGAAGCUUAAGGAAUGUAUUUGGCUAGGCUAAAACAUUUUUU
Long non-coding RNA from Gadus macrocephalus (Pacific cod), 423 nucleotides. RefSeq lists it as uncharacterized. The record is from RefSeq and is a predicted model, not a curated record. The transcript is spliced from 3 exons. Lineage: Eukaryota; Metazoa; Chordata; Actinopteri; Gadiformes; Gadidae.